This 292-nucleotide ribosomal RNA is filed under the name uncultured bacterium. RNAcentral's name for it is "partial 16S ribosomal RNA". It matches the Rfam family "Bacterial small subunit ribosomal RNA", at positions 505 to 796 of the family's 1533-position model. The record is from RNAcentral.
GUGUCAGCAGCCGCGGUAAUACGGAGGAUCCAAGCGUUAUCCGGAUUUAUUGGGUUUAAAGGGUGCGUAGGCGGCUUAUUAAGUCAGGGGUGAAAGACGGUGGCUCAACCAUCGCAGUGCCUUUGAUACUGAUGAGCUUGAAUGUAGUUGAGGUAGGCGGAAUGAGACAAGUAGCGGUGAAAUGCAUAGAUAUGUCUCAGAACACCGAUUGCGAAGGCAGCUUACUAAACUAUAAUUGACGCUGAUGCACGAAAGCGUGGGGAUCAAACAGGAUUAGAUACCCCUGUAGUCC